UCGUGAUGGGGAUAGAUCAUUGCAAUUGUUGGUCUUCAACGAGGAAUGCCUAGUAAGCGCGAGUCAUCAGCUCGCGUUGACUACGUCCCUGCCCUUUGUACACACCGCCCGUCGCUCCUACCGAUUGAAUGGUCCGGUGAAGUGUUCGGAUCGCGGCGACGGGGGCGGUUCGCCGCCCCCGACGUCGCGAGAAGUUCAUUGAACCUUAUCAUUUAGAGGAAGGAGAAGUCGUAACAAGGUUUCCGUAGGUGAACCUGCGGAAGGAUCAUU
Molecule: ribosomal RNA, 270 nt
Filed under: Helictochloa aetolica
Lineage: Eukaryota; Viridiplantae; Streptophyta; Magnoliopsida; Poales; Poaceae
Description: partial 18S ribosomal RNA
Rfam family: Eukaryotic small subunit ribosomal RNA
Source: RNAcentral